AGCGAACGUUGGCGGCGCGCUUAACACAUGCAAGUCGAGCGAGAACGGACCCUUCGGGGUCUUAGUAAAGCGGCGCACGGGUGAGUAACACGUGGGUAACCUACCUUUCGGUGGGGGACAACCUCGGGAAACUGGGGCUAAUACCGCAUACGUCCUGUUGGUCUUCGGAACGACAGGGGGAAAGAGGGCCUCUCCAUGGAAGCUCUCGCCGAGAGAUGGGCCCGCGGCCCAUCAGCUAGAUGGUGGGUAACGGCCUACCAUGGCAACGACGGGUAGCUGGUCUGAGAGGAUGACCAGCCACACUGGAACUGAGACACGGUCCAGACUCCUACGGGUGGCUG
This 341-nucleotide ribosomal RNA is filed under the name uncultured Pseudomonadota bacterium. RNAcentral describes it as "bacterial SSU rRNA". It matches the Rfam family "Bacterial small subunit ribosomal RNA", at positions 29 to 351 of the family's 1533-position model. Lineage: Bacteria; Pseudomonadati; Pseudomonadota. The record is from RNAcentral.